UACGUAGGGUGCGAGCGUUGUCCGGAAUUAUUGGGCGUAAAGAGCUCGUAGGCGGUCUGUCGCGUCGGUCGUGAAAACUUGGGGCUUAACCCUGAGCUUGCGGUCGAUACGGGCAUGACUGGAGUUCGGCAGGGGAGACUGGAAUUCCUGGUGUAGCGGUGAAAUGCGCAGAUAUCAGGAGGAACACCGGUGGCGAAGGCGGGUCUCUGGGCCGAUACUGACGCUGAGGAGCGAAAGUGUGGGGAGCGAACAGG
This 254-nucleotide ribosomal RNA is filed under the name uncultured bacterium. RNAcentral's name for it is "partial 16S ribosomal RNA". It matches the Rfam family "Bacterial small subunit ribosomal RNA", at positions 524 to 776 of the family's 1533-position model. The record is from RNAcentral.